UGUGAUUGAGGAAAUGAAAAAGUUUAU
RNAcentral lists this non-coding RNA (27 nucleotides) under Cricetulus griseus (Chinese hamster). The record is from RNAcentral. Lineage: Eukaryota; Metazoa; Chordata; Mammalia; Rodentia; Cricetidae.